UACAGAGGUCUCAAGCGUUGUUCGGAUUCAUUGGGCGUAAAGGGUGCGUAGGUGGCAUGGUAAGUCGGAUGUGAAAUCCCGGGGCUCAACCCCGGAACUACAUUCGAUACUGCUGCGCUAGAGUACUGGAGAGGAGAUUGGAAUUUACGGUGUAGCAGUGAAAUGCGUAGAUAUCGUAAGGAAGACCAGUGGCGAAGGCGGAUCUCUGGACAGUUACUGACACUGAGGCACGAAGGCCAGGGGAGCAAACGGG
Molecule: ribosomal RNA, 253 nt
Filed under: uncultured bacterium
Lineage: Bacteria
Description: partial 16S ribosomal RNA
Rfam family: Bacterial small subunit ribosomal RNA
Source: RNAcentral